Dioscorea cayenensis subsp. rotundata (Guinea yam) is the source of this 107-nucleotide small nucleolar RNA. Lineage: Eukaryota; Viridiplantae; Streptophyta; Magnoliopsida; Dioscoreales; Dioscoreaceae. The record is from RefSeq and is a predicted model, not a curated record.
AGACCAUGUUGUGGGCAUCCCUCGGAAGAUCUUUUGUACCUUUCCCAAGCUACAUAUAAUGUUUCCCCAUCUUGUUGAGUGAAAGAGGCUAUGUCAUGUUAAAGUUU